Molecule: ribosomal RNA, 400 nt
Filed under: uncultured bacterium
Lineage: Bacteria
Description: bacterial SSU rRNA
Rfam family: Bacterial small subunit ribosomal RNA
Source: RNAcentral
UGGGGAAUAUUGCGCAAUGGACGAAAGUCUGACGCAGCGACGCCGCGUGGGUGAUGAAGGCCUUCGGGUCGUAAAGCCCUGUUGAGGGAGAGAAAGCUACUGUCGGUUAAUACCCGGCAGUGGUGAUAGUAUCCCUAGAGAAAGCACCGGCUAACUACGUGCCAGCAGCCGCGGUAAUACGUAGGGUGCAAGCGUUGCUCGGAAUUACUGGGCGUAAAGGGAGCGCAGGCGGUUUUGUAUGUCGCAGGUGAAAUACUCCGGCUUAACUGGAGAAACGCCUGCGAAACUGCAGGACUAGAGGACAGGAGAGGUGGACGGAAUUCCCGGUGUAGCGGUGAAAUGCGUAGAUAUCGGGAGGAACGCCGAAGGCGAAGGCAAUCCACUGGACUGUUCCUGACGC